RNAcentral lists this long non-coding RNA (2853 nucleotides) under Selaginella moellendorffii. Its description in RNAcentral is "long non-coding RNA (SMOE_LNC002368)". Lineage: Eukaryota; Viridiplantae; Streptophyta; Lycopodiopsida; Selaginellales; Selaginellaceae. The record is from RNAcentral.
GUCGCCGCCUCCACCACCGUACUACUACAAAUCACCUCCGCCGCCCCCAUACAAGUAUGAAUCGCCGCCGCCACCACCAUACAAGUAUGAAUCGCCGCCGCCACCACCAUACAAGUAUGAAUCGCCUCCUCCACCACCAUAUAAGUACGAAUCGCCACCGCCACCACCAUACAAGUACGAGUCGCCUCCUCCACCUCCGUACAAGUAUGAAUCGCCUCCUCCCCCACCAUACUACUACAAAUCACCACCACCACCUCCUUACAAGUAUGAAUCUCCCCCUCCACCUCCAUAUUACUACAAAUCUCCACCCCCGCCACCACCUUACUACUACAAAUCACCACCACCACCUUCUCCUGUCUACAAAUAUAAAUCUCCACCACCACCACCUUACAAGUACGAAUCUCCUCCUCCACCUCCAUACUAUUACAAGUCUCCACCACCACCGCCGUAUUACUACAAGUCUCCACCACCACCACCUCCAGUUUACAAAUACAAAUCUCCUCCUCCGCCACCAUAUUACUACAAAUCACCACCUCCUCCAUCACCAGUAUAUUACUACAAAUCUCCUCCUCCACCAGCGUAUUACUACAAAUCUCCCCCACCGCCUGUCUACUAUUACAAAUCCCCGCCACCUCCAGCUUACCACUACCAAUCGCCACCCCCACCAAGUUACAAGCUGGUAGUGGUCACGGGCAAGGUCUAUUGCAACAGAUGCUGGAACACCACAAGCAGAUACCUUCAGGCAUCACCACAUGGGUCUGCUAGGUACAUUCUCAAUUGCAUUGUAUUCGAUAUUGUUCUCCUCACUCAUUUCCUCUUGAUACUGUGUGCAAUAAUGCAGGUGGCAAAGUGAAGAUCACAUGUGGCGAAUCUUACUACUACGGCUACACCAACAAGCAUGGAAUCUUUAGAAUUGAGCUCCCGCACCAAUCCUGGGAAGAAGCAAGCAGCUGCAAGGCCAAGAUUAUCAAGAGCAGCUACAUCAAGUCGUCAUGCAAUGUCAUCACGGACUACAGGUCUGGUGCAACAGGGGCCAAGCUCAAGUUCAAAUCGAAAACAGAGAAGGAGCUCGUCUUGACAGCCGGUCCUUUCAUCUAUGCAACUCCAGAGCCAUCGUCAGUCUGCUUCUACACAUCACCUCCCUAUGAGUACAAGUCACCUCCGCCACCAACACCGGUCUACCAUUACGCCUCUCCGCCACCUCCGGUCUACUACUACAAAUCGCCACCUCCUCCUUCACCGGUUUACUACUACAAAUCCCCUCCUCCUCCUUCGCCGGUCUACUAUUACAAAUCCCCGCCUCCACCACCAUACUAUUACAAGUCCCCACCUCCACCUCCGCCUAAGUAUUACUACAAGUCGCCCCCACCACCGUCUCCAUACUAUUACAAAUCCCCGCCCCCUCCACCGUACUAUUACAAAUCCCCACCACCACCUCCCUACAAAUACGAAUCGCCGCCGCCUCCUCCUUACAAAUACGAGUCCCCACCUCCACCACCUUACUAUUACAAGUCCCCACCACCACCUCCAUACAAAUAUGAAUCCCCGCCACCUCCAGUCUACAAAUAUGAGUCUCCGCCACCCCCAGUUUACAAAUACAAGUCGCCACCACCACCAUACAAGUACGAGUCACCACCACCACCUCCAUACAAGUAUGAAUCCCCGCCACCUCCACCUUAUUACUACAAGUCCCCUCCACCACCACCAUACAAGUACGAGUCGCCACCACCUCCUCCGUACAAGUAUGAAUCUCCACCACCACCAGUUUACAAAUACAAGUCACCUCCGCCGCCACCUUAUUACUACAAAUCCCCACCGCCACCUCCAUACAAGUACGAGUCUCCACCUCCUCCUCCGUACAAGUAUGAAUCUCCACCACCACCACCUUAUUACUACAAAUCCCCCCCGCCACCUCCAUACAAGUACGAGUCACCGCCUCCUCCUCCGUACAAGUAUGAAUCUCCACCACCGCCAGUUUACAAAUACAAGUCACCCCCGCCACCACCUUAUUACUACAAAUCCCCGCCACCACCUCCAUACAAGUACGAGUCUCCACCUCCUCCUCCGUACAAGUAUGAAUCUCCACCACCACCUCCUUAUUACUACAAAUCCCCGCCGCCACCUCCCUACAAGUAUGAAUCCCCGCCACCACCUCCCUACAAAUACGAGUCACCUCCACCACCACCUUACUAUUACAAAUCUCCUCCACCGCCUCCAUACAAGUAUGAGUCGCCACCACCACCAGUCUACAAAUACGAGUCUCCGCCACCCCCAGUUUACAAAUACAAGUCGCCCCCUCCACCUUAUUACUACAAGUCUCCGCCACCCCCGCCAUACAAAUAUGAAUCCCCACCUCCACCUCCCUACAAGUAUGAAUCGCCUCCUCCUCCACCUUACUACUACAAGUCCCCUCCACCACCUCCCUACAAAUAUGAAUCCCCGCCACCACCUCCCUAUAAAUACGAGUCACCACCACCACCACCUUACUAUUACAAAUCUCCUCCACCGCCUCCAUACAAGUAUGAGUCGCCACCACCACCUCCCUACAAAUACGAGUCACCACCACCACCACCUUACAAGUAUGAAUCCCCACCUCCACCUCCGUACAAGUAUGAAUCACCUCCACCGCCUCCAUACAAGUAUGAAUCCCCUCCUCCACCUCCCUACAAAUACGAGUCACCACCCCCACCACCUUAUUACUACAAAUCGCCUCCGCCACCGGAGUAUCAAUCACCUCCUUACGUGUAUAAAUCUCCACCUCCACCCUCGUACUAGGAGCUAAGGAGCAUUUGAUUUUCAGGUGAGAAAUCUAUAGAACCACAGUUCCUAGUUUUAACAAGUUUUCAAAUUCAU